GACGAACGCUGGCGGCGUGCUUAACACAUGCAAGUCGAACGGAAAGGCCUUUUCGGCGGUACUCGAGUGGCGAACGGGUGAGUAACACGUGGGUGAUCUGCCCUGCACUCUGGGAUAAGCCUGGGAAACUGGGUCUAAUACCGGAUAGGACCGCACUUUAGUGUGUGUGGUGGAAAGUUUUUUCGGUGUAGGAUGAGCCCGCGGCCUAUCAGCUUGUUGGUGGGGUAAUGGCCUACCAAGGCGGCGACGGGUAGCCGGACUGAGAGGUUGGUCGGCCACAUUGGGACUGAGAGACGGCCCAGACUCCGACGGGAGGCAGCAGUGGGGAAUAUUGCACAAGGGGCGCAAGCCUGAUGCAGCGACGCCGCGUGGGGGAUGACGGCCUUCGGGUUGUAAACUCCUUUCGCCAGGGACGAAGCGUUUUGUGACGGUACCUGGAGAAGAAGCACCGGCUAACUACGUG
This 463-nucleotide ribosomal RNA is filed under the name uncultured bacterium. Its description in RNAcentral is "partial 16S ribosomal RNA". It matches the Rfam family "Bacterial small subunit ribosomal RNA", at positions 28 to 507 of the family's 1533-position model. The record is from RNAcentral.